AGCUCAGCCGGUAGAGCAUCUCCCUUUUAAGGAGGGGGCCGUUGGUUCGAAUCCAACA
This 58-nucleotide transfer RNA is filed under the name Campylobacter jejuni. RNAcentral describes it as "tRNA-Lys". It matches the Rfam family "tRNA", at positions 9 to 63 of the family's 71-position model. Rfam says of the family: Transfer RNA (tRNA) molecules are approximately 80 nucleotides in length. Their secondary structure includes four short double-helical elements and three loops (D, anti-codon, and T loops). Further hydrogen bonds mediate the characteristic L-shaped molecular structure. tRNAs have two regions of fundamental functional importance: the anti-codon, which is responsible for specific mRNA codon recognition, and the 3' end, to which the tRNAs corresponding amino acid is attached (by aminoacyl-tRNA synthetases). tRNAs cope with the degeneracy of the genetic code in two manners: having more than one tRNA (with a specific anti-codon) for a particular amino acid; and 'wobble' base-pairing, i.e. permitting non-standard base-pairing at the 3rd anti-codon position. Lineage: Bacteria; Pseudomonadati; Campylobacterota; Epsilonproteobacteria; Campylobacterales; Campylobacteraceae. The record is from RNAcentral. RNAcentral also lists the same sequence under 1 other name.